Molecule: ribosomal RNA, 440 nt
Filed under: uncultured bacterium
Lineage: Bacteria
Description: partial 16S ribosomal RNA
Rfam family: Bacterial small subunit ribosomal RNA
Source: RNAcentral
CCUGGCGGCUGCAGUGGGGAAUAUUUGGCAAUGGGCGCAAGCCUGACCCAGCAACGCCGCGUGAAGGAAGAAGGCUUUCGGGUUGUAAACUUCUUUUCUCAGGGACGAAGCAAGUGACGGUACCUGAGGAAUAAGCCACGGCUAACUACGUGCCAGCAGCCGCGGUAAUACGUAGGUGGCAAGCGUUAUCCGGAUUUACUGGGUGUAAAGGGCGUGUAGGCGGGACUGCAAGUCAGAUGUGAAAACCACGGGCUCAACCUGUGGCCUGCAUUUGAAACUGUAGUUCUUGAGUACUGGAGAGGCAGACGGAAGUCCUAGUGUAGCGGUGAAAUGCGUAGAUAUUAGGAGGAACACCAGUGGCGAAGGCGGUCUGCUGGACAGCAACUGACGCUGAGGCGCGAAAGCGUGGGGAGCAAACAGGAUUAGAUACCCCUGUAGUC